UAGGGAAUCUUCGGCAAUGGACGAAAGUCUGACCGAGCAACGCCGCGUGAGUGAAGAAGGUUUUCGGAUCGUAAAACUCUGUUGGUAAAGAAGAACGUUGGUGAGAGUGGAAAGCUCAUCAAGUGACGGUAACUACCCAGAAAGGGACGGCUAACUACGUGCCAG
This 165-nucleotide ribosomal RNA is filed under the name uncultured bacterium. RNAcentral describes it as "partial 16S rRNA". It matches the Rfam family "Bacterial small subunit ribosomal RNA", at positions 355 to 511 of the family's 1533-position model. The record is from RNAcentral.